This 378-nucleotide ribosomal RNA is filed under the name uncultured bacterium. RNAcentral's name for it is "bacterial SSU rRNA". It matches the Rfam family "Bacterial small subunit ribosomal RNA", at positions 521 to 896 of the family's 1533-position model. The record is from RNAcentral.
UAAUACGUAGGGGGCGAGCGUUGUCCGAAGUUACUGGGCGUAAAGCGCGCGUAGGCGGUCCCUUAAGUCUGAGGUGAAAGGUUCGGCGCUCAACGUGAACAGUGCCUUGGAGACUGGGGGACUUGAGUGUGGGAGGGGGCGGUGGAAUUCCUGGUGUAGCGGUGAAAUGCGUAGAUAUCAGGAGGAACACCGAUGGCGAAGGCAGCCGCCUGGCCUGACACUGACGCUGAGGUGCGAAAGCGUGGGGAGCGAACGGGAUUAGAUACCCCGGUAGUCCACGCCGUAAACGAUGAGUGCUAGGUGUCCGGGGUAUCGACCCCCCGGGUGCCGCCGCCAACGCAGUAAGCACUCCGCCUGGGGAGUACGGCCGCAAGGUUG